RNAcentral lists this transfer RNA (88 nucleotides) under Patescibacteria group bacterium. RNAcentral's name for it is "tRNA-Leu". It matches the Rfam family "tRNA". Rfam says of the family: Transfer RNA (tRNA) molecules are approximately 80 nucleotides in length. Their secondary structure includes four short double-helical elements and three loops (D, anti-codon, and T loops). RNAcentral also lists the same sequence under 1 other name. The record is from RNAcentral.
GCCGAAGUGGCGGAAUUGGUAGACGCGCGGCGUUCAGGACGCCGUUCCCUUUAUGGGAUUGGAGGUUCGACUCCUCUCUUCGGCACCA